GACAGAGGGUGCAAGCGUUGUUCGGAAUUACUGGGCGUAAAGAGCGUGUAGGCGGGAGGGUCAGUCUGCUGUGAAAUCCUGCGGCUCAACCGUAGAAGUGCAGUGGAUACUACCCUUCUUGAGUACGUCAGAGGAGAGUGGAAUUCCCGGUGUAGAGGUGAAAUUCGUAGAUAUCGGGAGGAACACCAGUGGCGAAAGCGACUCUCUGGGGCGAUACUGACGCUGAGACGCGAAAGCGUGGGGAGCAAACAGG
RNAcentral lists this ribosomal RNA (253 nucleotides) under uncultured bacterium. RNAcentral describes it as "partial 16S ribosomal RNA". It matches the Rfam family "Bacterial small subunit ribosomal RNA", at positions 524 to 776 of the family's 1533-position model. The record is from RNAcentral.